AAUAGAUACCCGGUAGUCCACGCCGUAAACGAUGAAUACUAGGUGUAGGGGUUGUCAUGACCUCUGUGCCGCCGCAAACGCAUUAAGUAUUCCGCCUGGGGAGUACGGUCGCAAGAUUAAAACUCAAAGGAAUUGACGGGGGCCCGCACAAGCAGCGGAGCAUGUGGUUUAAUUCGAAGCAACGCGAAGAACCUUACCUAGACUUGACAUCUCCUGAAUUACUCUUAAUCGAGGAAGUCCCUUCGGGGACAGGAAGACAGGUGGUGCAUGGUUGUCGUCAGCUCGUGUCGUGAGAUGUUGGGUUAAGUCCCGCAACGAGCGCAACCCUUAUUGUUAGUUGCUACCAUUAAGUUGAGCACUCUAGCAAGACUGCCCGGGUUAACCGGGAGGAAGGUGGGGAUGACGUCAAAUCAUCAUGCCCCUUAUGUCUAGGGCUACACACGUGCUACAAUGGCAAGUACAAAAGAUGCAAUACCGCAAGGUGGAGCUAAACUUAAAAACCUUGUCUCAGUUCGGAUUGUAGGCUGAAACUCGCCUACA
RNAcentral lists this ribosomal RNA (540 nucleotides) under uncultured bacterium. RNAcentral's name for it is "bacterial SSU rRNA". It matches the Rfam family "Bacterial small subunit ribosomal RNA", at positions 777 to 1320 of the family's 1533-position model. The record is from RNAcentral.